ACACUCCUGCGGGAGGCAACAGUGGGGAAUAUUGGACAAUGGGCGCAAGCCUGAUCCAGCCAUGCCGCGUGAGUGAUGAAGGCCCUAGGGUUGUAAAGCUCUUUCACCGGUGAAGAUAAUGACGGUAACCGGAGAAGAAGCCCCGGCUAACUUCGUGCCAGCAGCCGCGGUAAUACGAAGGGGGCUAGCGUUGUUCGGAUUUACUGGGCGUAAAGCGCACGUAGGCGGACUAUUAAGUCAGGGGUGAAAUCCCGGGGCUCAACCCCGGAACUGCCUUUGAUACUGGUAGUCUUGAGUUCGAGAGAGGUGAGUGGAAUUCCGAGUGUAGAGGUGAAAUUCGUAGAUAUUCGGAGGAACACCAGUGGCGAAGGCGGCUCACUGGCUCGUUACUGACGCUGAGGUGCGAAAGCGUGGGGAGCAAACAGGAUUAGAAACCCCUGUAGUCCCAUG
This 450-nucleotide ribosomal RNA is filed under the name uncultured organism. RNAcentral describes it as "partial 16S ribosomal RNA". It matches the Rfam family "Bacterial small subunit ribosomal RNA", at positions 333 to 799 of the family's 1533-position model. The record is from RNAcentral.